CGCACGGUGGCUUAGUGGUUAGCACGCUCGCCUCGCGUCACACCUGGGUGAUCUGGGGUUCAAUUCCCGCCGGGGCUG
Non-coding RNA from Ameiurus melas (black bullhead), 78 nucleotides. The record is from the annotation of a GenBank genome assembly. Lineage: Eukaryota; Metazoa; Chordata; Actinopteri; Siluriformes; Ictaluridae.